UUCAAUAACGAUUGAGAUCUUCAUUUUAGCCUUAUGCACUGUUUUUCUAUUUAUCAUUAGUGUCUUUUCAUCACUUUCAGCAUAGAACUUCCAGUUUAUCCUUCUGUUUCCUCAGGUCGUCUAUGGCAUCCAUUCUGACACCAUCUCUUCCGUGAGGCACUUCACAACCACUUCCAGUUUCUCUAACAGCUUGACUUCUUGUGCUGCAGACUUGGAAAGUGGGCAGCAGUCCUGAAAAUUGUACAUAUUCUGCAGAAUUAAGAGGAUCUGACAGCAACGGAUCACAAAUACAGGAGCAUCACACGUUAUGACCUCAUCACAUGUUAUGUCAGUCCUGAGUCUUAGCCCAAGCAGACACUAGUAACCAAGAUAAAAAUGGGUGGAGAGACACAGAAAGGAGGAAGACUCCACAAAUCCAUUUCCCAUCAACUGGUUCUUCUGUCACUUCUCCCUGGCCACAGACACUUUUGGCUUCUAUUUCAAAUAGUGUGGAGGGGAUGCAGAAAGAGCAAAGACCCAGCCUCUUCCCAUUGGGGGGCCUGUGGGAGAAGUCUAAAAACUGCUCCUGUGUCAACCUCCCAUCCUGGCCUGAAGGAAGGGAAGGAGCCCUCCAACCUUGGGUGGCCUAUGCCAUCUUCCCCUUUCCACAAUCCCAGCUCCUCCUGCCCAGAUUGAAACUCCUACUGUCAGAAGCGGGGUAGGUCGAGGAAAGGGAUCACUAGGAAUAAACUUGAUGAGGAACUUCCAAGGCACCUCAUGAACAGGCGUUAGUUUAUUGUCAUGAGCUAAUAAUUGCUUCUUUAACAAGUUUUUAAGGAAUUUCUGCUGCAGACUCAGUGCUAUGGGAGGCACUGCGGGGCCACAGAAACUUCUAAAGGGCUUGCGAAGCAGUUAAGGACAGGAUAUGCAUAUGGCACAGGAAGCUUCAAUGGAUAACACCAAAAAAUAUAACGAAGCCACAGACUGCAACAGGAACCAUAAGAACAACUAGGGAAUUAAAGAGAAAGGGACCAGCUGAGCCCAGUGGCUCACACCUGUAAUCCCAGCACUUUGGGAGGCUGAGGCGGGCAAAAUCACCUGAGGUCAGGAGUUUGAGACCAGCCUGACCAACACGGUGAAACCCUGUCUCUACUAAAAUUAUAAAAAUUAGCUGGCAUGGUGGUAGGUGCCUGUAACUUCACCUACUUGGGAGGCUGAGGCAGGAGAAUCACUUGAACGCAGGAGGCGGAGGUUGUGGUGAGCCAAGAUCGCGCCAUUGCACUCCAGCCUGGGCAACAAGAGCAAAACUCCGUCUCAAAAAAAAAAGGCUGGGCCCAGUGGCUCAUACCUGUAAUCCCAGCACUUUGGGAGGCUGAGGUGGGCGGAUCACCUGAGGUCAGGAGUUUGAGAUCAGCUUGGCUAACAUGGUAAAACUCCAUGUCUGCUAAAAAUACAAAAAUUAGCUGCGUGUGGUGGCAUGUGCCAGUAGUCACCACUGCUUGGGAGGCUGAGACAGGAGAAUCACGUGAACCUGGGAGGCAGAGGUUGCAGUGAGCUGAGAUUAUGCCACUGCAUUCCAGCCUGGGCAGUGGAGCGAGACUCCAUUUCAAAAAAAGAGAGAGAGAGAGAAAGGGACCAAAGAGGGCUUCCUGGCACCCAGGAGGAAUUCACAAAAACAUUUCCAGAGCAAAAAGUGAAAGUGUCUGUAAAAGGGUACGUCCUCCCCUGGACUAUGAAUUCCUUAUGGGCAGAAGUAGUAAAAUGAUAGGCGUUUCACUGAGAUUGAAGGGAAUGGCAUAAAUUUGACUACAUCAGAAUUUUGUCUGGAAUCAACCUUGCCUACCUCCACCUGAUUUAGUUAGAAUACCGCAGUGUGAGUGGCGGUCUAGACAAAUUUGCCUGAGUAAAUCCUGAACAGGUAAGUAUCCUGAAGUUUUUGGCUUAAACACAAACACAGCUUCUCAGUCUCUCUGGCGGCCCAGGGACAGUGACCUUUCUUAGUGUCUGCAGGAGAUACACAUGAAGCCAGUGUCACCCUGAGCCAGGGGCCUAUUGGCAAGUUCCCAGGUGAAGGUGGGGGGCUAACCCGAAGCACGGCUCCCCCUCGGCACUGCUAGGCUGGAUCAUUCUCUGUUGCAGGGGCUGCCCUGUGUGUUCUUAGUGGCAUCCUUAGCCUCUGCCACUCUGUGCCAGUAGCGCCCAACCCUCCCCAAUCCGGUCCAACAAGCACCAAUGUCUCUAGCAGCAUCAAACAUCCCCCUGGCUCUAGGGAUCAGAUCCCACACUACCGUGCCACGAGAGGGUGUCUAAAACCAAAGGUCUGUGCCCUGCUCAUCAUUCACACAAUCCCCUGGCAAAGCCACUUUGCUUCUGCUGAUAGCAUUCCCUUACAUCUGAAGGGAAUUUAGACUUCCUGUAAUUCAAGGAUCUCUUUUUAAGGAGAUUAAGGCCCAGGAGGGACCUCCACAUGGGACACGUCAUGUCGGAGAGACUCCACAUGGAUCUGCCCAGUACCUGUGUGUGGGACAGACAGGACCUGGAGAUCCAGGGUGGGGAUGGUGAAGGGAGAAUAGACAGAUGGGGGGGUGCAUUCAUGAAAUGGGGUGACAUCACAGCAGUUCAUAGAGUAAAAACUGUCGAAUCUGCCACCUGGCCCUUGCAAGGCUGCUCCCUACCAUAAAGCAGGAAGUAGGGUGCCAGCUCCCCUCGCCUCCAGCGGUGCCCAGCAGGCCCCUUGCUGGGGGUGGGCAUAUCACACUAUGGAUAUUUGUUUUAGAAAUAGUUCUUGAGGACCAAAAGGUAAGCUGAAGUCAUUUGUUCAUCAUUCAGGAAACAUUUUGAUGUGCUUUUGUUGACUACUGAGGACACAAGUCUCUGCCCACAGGUAGAUGUAUGCAGCAGGCAUGAAGAGAUCCUCCUAAAACAAGGACACAUGUGAGGCAACAGGCAUGUUGUGGGGGCUGAGGGUGCAGAGGGGCUGCAUCCAACCCAACAGGAAAGACAAGGACCACUUUCAGGGGCUGCGAACCCCCGAGCUAAGUCUAAAAGGAUGAUUUCAGCAGUUACAGAGUAAGAAAGCGAGGCUGGAGGAGGGCACUGGAGGUGCAAGGGAAAUCUCACAAAAGCUUGUGGCCCAUCAGGCACAGCAACCUCACGCCUGUAAUCCCAGCACUUUGGGAGGCCGAGGCAGGCGGAUCACCUGAGGUCAGGAGUUUGAGACCAGCCUGACCAACAUGGCAAAACCCCUUCUCUACUAAACGUACAACAAUUAGCUGGGCAUGGUGAUGGGUGCCUGUAAUCCCAGCUACUCAGGAGGCUGAGGCAGGGAAAUCGCUUGAACUCUGGUGGUUCGAGGUUGCAGUGAGCUGAGAUUGUGCCACUGUACUCCAGCCUGGGCAACAGAGCAAGACUGUGUCUGGAAGUGAUACAGUGGGCGGGCAGAACCCCAGCACUCCACCUCGGCAGGAUGUUAGAGUCAAGUCAGAAGAGAGAAAUCAGGGCCGGGCACAGUGGCUCAAGCCUGUAAUCCCAGCACUUUGGGAGGCCGAGGCAGGUGGAUCACGAGGUCAAGAGAUCGAGACCAUCCUGGUCAACAGGGUGAAACCCUGUCUCUACCAAAAAUACAAAAUAUUAGCUGGGCAUGGUGGCGCAUGCCUGUAAUCCCAGCUACUCAGGAGGCUGAGGCAGGAUAAUUGCCUGAACCCAGGAGGCGGAGGUUGCGGUGAGCCAAGAUCGCGCCAUUGCACUCCAGUCUGGGUAACAAGAGCGAAACUCCAUCUCAAAAAAGAAAAAAAAAAAGAAGAAGAGAGAAAUCAGACUGAAAGGCUGUGACUGCAGUCUUGAAGAACUUGCAUUUCAUCUCUAAGGCAAUGAGGAGCCACUGAGGGAUAGAAUCAAGGAGCACAAGGUCAGGCGGGGCAGCAGGUAGGACAAUGCUGCAGUGAGGGGAGACAGGGGAGACCCACAGGCAGGGUGGAGGGAGGAGAGUCAGGGAUGCCUCUGAGGAUGCCUAGAAGAGCUAAGAAUGAUGCUCAGGGCUGGACGUGGUGGGUCAAGCCUGCAAUCCCAACACUUUGGGAAGCCAAGUUGGGAGGAUCACUUGAGGCGAAGAGUUCAAGAUGUUCAAGAUUGAGGUCUCGCUAUGUUGACCAGGCUGUCAACAUAGCGAGACCUCAAUUCUGUUUAAAAACACAAAAGCAGAUGCUCAGGUGUCUAGCGGUGACUUAAAUGAGGCAGUGCACACAGAAGAAGCAGGCAUGCAGCGGGAGCUCUGGACCUCCACGUAGGACGCGUUACGUCUGAGAGACUCCACAUGGAGCUGCCCAGUACAGGCAGCUCCAAGACUUUCAUUUCCCACCACCACACUCUCCCCAAGGCACCAGAAUGUGAGCUGGCACCACGGUGAGGACUCCGGACCUACUAAUGGACUGUGAACCUAACAUUUGUGGGAAACGUUGCACAACUUCUAAGGUCUGUGGUCAGAUGGGUUCACCCACAGCCUAAUCGUAAGUGUAGAUGCUUAAGAACUAGAUUGUAGCUUACAAAAGCUGUUGGCUGUUUAUCGCGAAGUGUGCUACCAGAGGGUAGUGCAGUUUUGCUACAUAUUUGUAGUCCUGUACAUUUGAGGGUGGGAAUAAGGCUCUCUGAGCAGCCUCUCCGCAUGUCAUGCCCUCUAAUGAAUACCCACAGUGUCCCCAUUUCUCAUGAACCAGGACUUGACGUUUACCCCUGGAUAUCUCUCAUAGACUCACGCUCUCUGUGGGACAGAGACAAGAGCAUUUGCUCAAACCCUUCCUGAAUUCUUUUCAACCCUUAGCUAUUUCAGUCCUUUUCACAGUAGUCACACCUUUCAGCCACUGAGUUAUUCAACCUGAGACUCAGAGGCCUGUCCUGGGAGGAAAAUGAUGGUUUAAAUGAGGAGCAUUUCCUAAAGCAUUUUGCAUUUUAUUUCUUACUCCAACUUUGCAAGUACUUCUGUGUAUAGAAAUUUUUACUCUUUCCCUAAAGCUUUGUAGUCUCUCCUUUCUACUGAAGAGAAAUUAAAGUGCAGCAUUGGGGUCAGGGUCCAGAGCGUAGAACGUGCCUUCAGGUGGGUCCAGGCAAGGGUGUGGCCCCAGGUCAUGGCCCCUGGCCCUGGCCCUCCUCAGGUACUACUGCCUGGAGGAGGAUUUAGUGUUAGCUGGAGUACUUUGGUAUUUUACCUGUUUAAGAAUGAAAUGCAGUUAGGCAUGGUGGCUCACAAUUGUAAUCCCAGCAUUUUGGGAGGCUGAGGUGGGUGGGUCAACUGAGGUCAGGAGUUCGAGACCAGCCUGGCCAACAUGGUGAAACCCCAUCUCUAUUAAAAAUACAAAAAUUAGGCUGGGCAUGGUGGCUCAUGCCUGUAAUCCCAGAACUUUGGGAGGCAGAAGCAAGUGGGUCACAAGGUCAGGAAAUCAAGACCAUCCUGGCCAACACGGUGAAACCCUGUCUCUACUAAAAAUACAAAAAAAAAAACAAAACCAUGUGUGGUGGCGGGCGCCUGUAGUCCCAGCUACUCAGGAGGCUGAGGCAGGAGAAUCACUUGAACCUGGGAGGUGGAGGUUGCUGAGAUCGCACUACUACACUGCAGCCUGGGCGACAGAGCCUGCAUCACUGCACUACAGAGCGAGAUUCUGUCUCAAAAAAAAAAAAGAACAAAGUGCUUCCUGGCAGAGUGAAGUCUCUCCUCCUUCCACAGUGGACUCUCUUUAUUAUGACUGUGAUGUGAUUGGGGUACACAAGCUGGUGUCUUCUCCAAAGGUCAGCUGAGGAGCUCUCUGGAAACACAAGUCCAUUGUGAAAUCCUCAGCAAUUCCUCACAGCAGAAUAUCACCCUGUGAGAAACGUAGGAAUCUAAACCCUGCAAUUCACAGCCAGUCUGGUGAAGCAUCCGGACAAGGAGACUAAGAUUUAAUCUUGAUUCUCCACUAAUUGGCACUGUAGUGUUCCCAGAAGUCAUUUCUGCUCACUGGGUCUCAAUUUUCUAAUCUAUAAAAUGAAGGGUUGGAGUAGAUCACUGUUUCUCACGCUGCGGGGUAUAGACAUAUUCUUGGGAGCUGUGAGCUCUCUAUUAGAAUUUUUUUUCCUAAAAAAAACUUUUUUUUUGAGACGGAGUAUUGCUCUGUCACCCAGGCUGUAGUGCAGCUUACUGCAACCUCCAUCUUCCACAUUCAAGAGAUUCUCCUGCCUUAGCCUUCCGAGUAGCUGGGAUUACAGGCACACACCAUCACAUCUGGCUAAUUUUUGUAUUUUUAGUAGAGAUGGGGUUUUGCCAUAUUGGCCAGGCUGGUCUUGAACUCCUGACCUCAGGUGAUCUACCUGCCUUGGUCUCUCUAAGUGCUGGGAUUAUAGGUGUGAGCCACUGUGCUCAACCUUUUUUUUUUCUAAAUGUUUGAUUUUAUUUAUUUAUUAUUUCCUUUAAACUGUCUCCCCCAGGAAGGAUUAUUUAUUUUUGAUGUCUUGCUCUGACAUCAAGGCUGGGUCAUAUGAUCUUGUGGCGGCAUGAUCAUAGCUCACAGCAGCCUUGAAUUCUGGGGCUCAAGCAAUCCUCUUGCCUCAGCCUCUCGAGUAGAUGAGACUACAGGCAUGUGCUACCACACUGAGCUAAUUUUUUAUUUUAAUUUUUUUUAGAUAUAGGAUCUCCCUAUGUUGCCAAGGGUGGUCCCAAACUCCUGGCCUCCAGUGAUCCUCCUGCCUCAGCCUCUCAAAGUGUUCAGAAUUACAGGUGUGAGCCACUGCACCUGGCCAACCCAACUUUUUAAUUCAAAACAGUUCAGACUUACAGAAUAAUUGCAAAAAUAAAAUAAGAACAUUCACACACCCUUCACAUGGAUUCACUAAUUAAUAGCAUUUUGCUACGAAAGUCUAUUCCCUUCUAUGGGUGUUUUCAUGUUGAUAAAAAUGGGCUGGGCAUGGUGACUCAGGCCUAUAAUCCCACCACUUUGGGAGGCCAAGGCAGGCAGAUCAUCUGAGGUCAGGAAUUCGAGACCAGCCUGGUCAACAUGGUGAAACCCCAUCUCUACUAAAAAUACAAAAGUUAGCCUUGCGUAGUGGUGCACACCGUAAUCCCAGCUACUCAAGAGACUGAAGAAGGAGAAUUGCUUGAAUCCGGGAGGCAGAGGUUGCAGUGGGCAGAGAUCACAUCACCGCACUCCAGCCUGGGCAUCAGAGCAAGACUCUGUCUCUAAAUAAAUAAAUAAUAAAUUCAUGUAAGCUUCUAUCUGAAUUAUAACGGGGGCUACUGCCUGCACCAGGGCUUGGGGGUCUGCUUGUGUCUACCUUCCCUUUGGCAUCAGAUGAAGAGGUCUCCACAAUAUCCACACCAAAUGAUAUCAUGAGGUCCCACAUAAAUGAAGGUUGUUCAGUAAUUUUAAAGGGAAAAGCGUGUGGGAAAUUUGAGUUCUUUCUCAUUUCAUACAUUUGCAGUAUAGUAAAGGCAUGUCAAACACACACACAGACUUCUCCAGAAGUCCUUUCCAUAUUGAUGUUACCAGUAGCAAUUUAGUUUGAGCAAAACAUCAUUUGACAAAUUAAAUUAGUUACUAAAUUAAAUUUUUGUGAUUUGAAAGGAAUUUUUUUACUGACUUUGUAAAUUUGUCUUAUUAUAAUUGGUCAAGAGUUAUGAACAUAAGGGCUUUAUUUAUUUUUAAGAUGGAGUCUCACUCUAUUGCUAGGCUGGCGUGUGUGGGGUGAUCUCGGCUCACUGCAACCUCUGCCUCCCAGGUUUAAGCGAUUCUCCUGCCUCUCCCUCCUAAGUAGCUGGGGCUACAGGCACACGCCACCAUGCCCAGAUAAUUUUCGUAUUUUUAGUAGAAAUGGGGUUUCACCAUGUUGGCCAAGAUGGUCUAGAUCUUUUGACCUUGUGAUCCGCCUGCCUUGGCCUCCCAAAGUGCUGGGAUUAGGGGCAUGAGCCACUGCACCCCACUGAGCAUAAGGAAUUUAUAAUGUUGGCGUAGACCUGAGCAGCACUAUAAAAAAAGUAAAACUGAGGUCAUGCUAGAGUGUCACUGGGGAGACUUGCAUUCAUCUUGUUUAUAAACAAUGGACCAGAACAAGUUCAGAUGUGCCUCAAGAGGAUCAGGCAGUUAAGUAAGUAUACCCAUUUUGUUAUAUUGAGAUUCAGUACAAGAUUUUGUUUGGAAAAAGUUUGAAUAUCACCUAUCUAGAAUAAUUUGAUGAAUCCGUUCAUCUUUAGCAACUAAACCCAUUUAUUUUCACUUCGAAAGUACUGUUAGCUGCGGACCAUC
Long non-coding RNA from Callithrix jacchus (white-tufted-ear marmoset), 8243 nucleotides. RefSeq lists it as uncharacterized. NCBI's taxonomy places the organism in Eukaryota, Metazoa, Chordata, Mammalia, Primates, Cebidae. The record is from RefSeq and is a predicted model, not a curated record.